Molecule: long non-coding RNA, 350 nt
Organism: Labeo rohita (rohu)
Lineage: Eukaryota; Metazoa; Chordata; Actinopteri; Cypriniformes; Cyprinidae
Exons: 3
Source: RefSeq, a predicted model, not a curated record
CUUCUGUAUUGGAUAUAUUGCACGCGACCUUGACAAACCCACAGCGAGGCAUGAUAAACUGAGAGGAAAUUCCAGACCGGUCCUCAGGGAGCCCAUCGGAAGGCACAAGAACCGGUUUUAGACACCAAAACAACUUUGGACCCCCCUGACUGUCAUUGCAUGGACAAAACAGUUGUAAAAUUCUAAGUUUCUUCAUUUUCAUCGUAUGAACAAAAGAAAACACUGAGAGAUUUUUCAAAACAUCUUGUUUCAUGUUCCACAAGGAGCACAUAUUUGCCUCCAGAAGUCCACGUAUUUGUCACUGGAAGAUAGACCUGGUUGUUCGUGACCGUGGACCACAAAACUAGUAG